RNAcentral lists this ribosomal RNA (1263 nucleotides) under Staphylococcus aureus. Its description in RNAcentral is "partial 23S ribosomal RNA". It matches the Rfam family "Bacterial large subunit ribosomal RNA", at positions 103 to 1368 of the family's 2925-position model. Lineage: Bacteria; Bacillati; Bacillota; Bacilli; Caryophanales; Staphylococcaceae. The record is from RNAcentral.
UCCAGAGAUUUCCGAAUGGGGAAACCCAGCAUGAGUUAUGUCAUGUUAUCGAUAUGUGAAUACAUAGCAUAUCAGAAGGCACACCCGGAGAACUGAAACAUCUUAGUACCCGGAGGAAGAGAAAGAAAAUUCGAUUCCCUUAGUAGCGGCGAGCGAAAUGGGAAGAGCCCAAACCAACAAGCUUGCUUGUUGGGGUUGUAGGACACUCUAUACGGAGUUACAAAGGACGACAUUAGACGAAUCAUCUGGAAAGAUGAAUCAAAGAAGGUAAUAAUCCUGUAGUCGAAAAUGUUGUCUCUCUUGAGUGGAUCCUGAGUACGACGGAGCACGUGAAAUUCCGUCGGAAUCUGGGAGGACCAUCUCCUAAGGCUAAAUACUCUCUAGUGACCGAUAGUGAACCAGUACCGUGAGGGAAAGGUGAAAAGCACCCCGGAAGGGGAGUGAAAUAGAACCUGAAACCGUGUGCUUACAAGUAGUCAGAGCCCGUUAAUGGGUGAUGGCGUGCCUUUUGUAGAAUGAACCGGCGAGUUACGAUUUGAUGCAAGGUUAAGCAGUAAAUGUGGAGCCGUAGCGAAAGCGAGUCUGAAUAGGGCGUUUAGUAUUUGGUCGUAGACCCGAAACCAGGUGAUCUACCCUUGGUCAGGUUGAAGUUCAGGUAACACUGAAUGGAGGACCGAACCGACUUACGUUGAAAAGUGAGCGGAUGAACUGAGGGUAGCGGAGAAAUUCCAAUCGAACCUGGAGAUAGCUGGUUCUCUCCGAAAUAGCUUUAGGGCUAGCCUCAAGUGAUGAUUAUUGGAGGUAGAGCACUGUUUGGACGAGGGGCCCCUCUCGGGUUACCGAAUUCAGACAAACUCCGAAUGCCAAUUAAUUUAACUUGGGAGUCAGAACAUGGGUGAUAAGGUCCGUGUUCGAAAGGGAAACAGCCCAGACCACCAGCUAAGGUCCCAAAAUAUAUGUUAAGUGGAAAAGGAUGUGGCGUUGCCCAGACAACUAGGAUGUUGGCUUAGAAGCAGCCAUCAUUUAAAGAGUGCGUAAUAGCUCACUAGUCGAGUGACACUGCGCCGAAAAUGUACCGGGGCUAAACAUAUUACCGAAGCUGUGGAUUGUCCUUUGGACAAUGGUAGGAGAGCGUUCUAAGGGCGUUGAAGCAUGAUCGUAAGGACAUGUGGAGCGCUUAGAAGUGAGAAUGCCGGUGUGAGUAGCGAAAGACGGGUGAGAAUCCCGUCCACCGAUUGACUAAGGUUUCCAGAGGAAGGCUCG